This 1833-nucleotide long non-coding RNA is filed under the name Carica papaya (papaya). RNAcentral's name for it is "long non-coding RNA (CPAP_LNC015544)". Lineage: Eukaryota; Viridiplantae; Streptophyta; Magnoliopsida; Brassicales; Caricaceae. The record is from RNAcentral.
GGCUCUUCCUGUUUUUAAAAGAUUCAAGGCUCAUGUUGAAGAGGAAGCAGAUGUUUUCCUCAAACGUUUAAGGACUGAUAGAGGUGGUGAGUUCACCUCGAUUGAUUUUGAGGCAUUUUGUGUCCUAAAUUGUGACAAUUAAAACACUCAUCAGUAAAGUUGUUGAUGAGUGGGGCACCAGGACCUAUUCCUGGCAUUUUCCCUAUGAAUGUCCUCAAAGGGAUAUUGGAGCCAACUAUGCCGAACUAAAUGAAGAAGAAGAGCUGUUAUUGAUGUCGUAUGUUGAGCUUAACCAAGCACAAAGAGAAGAGAUUUGGUUCCUUGACUCCGGUUGUAGCAAUCACAUGAGUGGGAAUAAAGAAUGGUUCUCCGAUUUGGAUGUCCACUUCAGGCAAACCGUGAAGCUAGGGGAUAAUUCAAGGAUGUCAGUUAUGGGGAAGGGAAAUAUUCGGAUGCAAGUCAAAGGAAUCACUCAGGUAAUAUCUGAAGUUUAUUACAUACCUGAGCUGAAAAAUAACUUGUUGAGUAUGGGGCAGCUGCAAGAAAAAGGUGUGUCAAUUUUAAUUCAGCAUGGAAAAUGCAAAGUCUUUCAUCCUAGUAAGGGCCUGAUUAUUGAGUCUGAAAUGAGUGCAAACAGAAUGUUUGUUUUGCUUGCAAACAUGAAACCUGAAGUUACUACUUGUUUUCAAGCAGUAACAGAAAUGAGAAUUAUUUGUGGCACCGCAGGUUUGGGCAUUUAAGCUUCAAAGGCUUGAAAACUCUUCAAAACAAAAGGAUGGUGAAUGGUUUGCCUUCACUCACAGAACCUCAAAAGCUGUGCAUUACCUGUUUAGCCGGAAAACAACACAAGGAAGCUAUUCCAAAAAGAAGUCUGUGGAGGGCAACACAAAAACUUCAGUUGGUGCACGCUGAUAUAUGUGGUCCUAUCAAACCUACAUCAAAUAGUAAUAAGAGGUAUUUCCUAAGUUUUAUUGAUGAUUUCAGCCGUAAAACUUGGAUUUAUUUCUUAGAUGAAAAAUCGGAGGCUCUUACUGUUUUUAAAAGAUUCAAGGCUCAUGUUGAAAAGGAAGCAGAUGUUUUCCUUAAAUGUUUAAGGACUGAUAGAGGUGGUGAGUUCACCUCGAUUGAUUUUGAGGCAUUUUGCAAGGAAAAUGGCAUAUCCAGGCAAUUGACAGCAGCUUAUACUCCUCAGCAAAACGGAGUUGCAGAAAGGAAGAAUAGGACUGUGAUGAACAUGGUGCGAUGUAUACUAACAGAGAAGCAAGUUCUAAAGAUCUUUUGGCCAGAAGCAGCUAAGUGGUGUGUGCACGUCCUCAACAGGUGUCCUACCUUAGCCGUGAAAGAUCGAACUCCGGAGGAAGCAUGGAGUGGUGUGAAGCCUACUAUACAACAUUUCAGAGUUUUUGGUUGCUUGGCCCAUGUGCAUGUACCUGACCAGAAGAGAAUCAAGUUAGAUGAUAAAAGCUUCAAAUGUGUUUUGUUGGGAGUAAGUGAUGAGUUGAAGGCUUAUCGGUUGUAUGAUCCCAUUUCUAAAAAGAUAGUUGUUAGCAAGGAUGUCAUUUUUGAGGAGAAUGAAAAAUGGAAUUGGAAUAUGAGCAAAGAGGAAAAGGCCUUGGAUUUGCUGGAUUGGGGAGAUAUUGAGGAAGGAGAUGCAGUAGAAAAUGGAACACCUGGGGUAGAGGAGAACAGAAUAACACAAGCUGAUUCAAGUGGCACAAGCUUAUCAUCUCUUAAUCAAGCAACUGGUUCAUGUAGCAGUACACCGUCAUCUAACGACACAGAUGAUGGGAACUCUCAGAGUCAAGAUUGUUAAGAUUGUUUAAUGAUAUGAUG